AGAGUUUGAUCAUGGCUCAGAUUGAACGCUGGCGGCAGGCCUAACACAUGCAAGUCGAGCGGAUGAGAAGAGCUUGCUCUUCGAUUCAGCGGCGGACGGGUGAGUAAUGCCUAGGAAUCUGCCUGAUAGUGGGGGACAACGUCUCGAAAGGGACGCUAAUACCGCAUACGUCCUACGGGAGAAAGCAGGGGACCUUCGGGCCUUGCGCUAUCAGAUGAGCCUAGGUCGGAUUAGCUAGUUGGUGGGGUAAAGGCUCACCAAGGCGACGAUCCGUAACUGGUCUGAGAGGAUGAUCAGUCACACUGGAACUGAGACACGGUCCAGACUCCUACGGGAGGCAGCAGUGGGGAAUAUUGGACAAUGGGCGAAAGCCUGAUCCAGCCAUGCCGCGUGUGUGAAGAAGGUCUUCGGAUUGUAAAGCACUUUAAGUUGGGAGGAAGGGCAUUUACCUAAUACGUGAGUGUUUUGACGUUACCGACAGAAUAAGCACCGGCUAACUCUGUGCCAGCAGCCGCGGUAAUACAGAGGGUGCAAGCGUUAAUCGGAAUUACUGGGCGUAAAGCGCGCGUAGGUGGUUCGGUAAGUUGAAUGUGAAAUCCCCGGGCUCAACCUGGGAACUGCAUCCAAAACUGCCGAGCUAGAGCAUGGUAGAGGGUGGUGGAAUUUCCUGUGUAGCGGUGAAAUGCGUAGAUAUAGGAAGGAACACCAGUGGCGAAGGCGACCACCUGGACUGAUACUGACGCUCAUGUGCGAAAGCGUGGGGAGCAAACAGGAUUAGAUACCCUGGUAGUCCACGCCAUAAACGAUGAGAACUGGAUGUCGGAGGGGUCUGCCCUUCGGUGUCGUAGCUAACGCGUUAAGUUCUCCGCCUGGGGAGUACGGCCGCAAGGUUGAAACUCAAAUGAAUUGACGG
This 913-nucleotide ribosomal RNA is filed under the name uncultured bacterium. Its description in RNAcentral is "bacterial SSU rRNA". It matches the Rfam family "Bacterial small subunit ribosomal RNA", at positions 8 to 916 of the family's 1533-position model. The record is from RNAcentral.